Molecule: non-coding RNA, 2927 nt
Organism: Macaca mulatta (Rhesus monkey)
Lineage: Eukaryota; Metazoa; Chordata; Mammalia; Primates; Cercopithecidae
Source: RefSeq, a predicted model, not a curated record
GCCUAGGCGAGGCGCGCGCCCAGCCGGCGCGGACGGACGUGCCGGACGCGCCGUAGUACAUUCCUGAAGGCGGACCGGCCCCCUUACGCUGCCCAAUGCCCGCGCCGCCUCCCCGCGGCCGGCCAAUGGUCGCGCUCUCGAGUCCCUGCCCAUUCGGCGGCCCCGCGCUGGCGGCCCGGGCGCGCUGGGGGCUGCGGCGGGGCGCGCCGGCCACCGGGGCGGUCUAUGCGGCUCCCGCAGGGGGCCCGUCCGCCGGCUCUCCCCGCCUCCUUCCUUCCUCCCCCGCGGUUUCCCCUCCCCGCUUCCUUCCCCCGGCCUGCGCCUUCUCCUUCCUCCCUCGCCCCGCUCCCUCCCCCACCAGCCCGGCCACCUUCCCUCCAGCCUCUCCUCGGCUUCAGGGGGAAGCCCUGCCCCCGACCCCCUAACCCGCAAACCGAGUGCGGUACCGGGGGCAGGGCGGGACGUCCCGAGGAAGAGAGGGAGACGGGGUGGAGGUGUCUGGGGGCGUUCGCGGGAUCCGGAGGGGGACCUGAGCACCGGGCCAGCGCGGAAAUUCAAAACUCAGACCGCUUAAGGAGCACGUGAUUUUGUGAGUGGCUCAGGGAAGGGCUGCGGAAACUCGGAAGGCAGGCGGGCAGCGUGCGACGAAAGUGACACUGCGUUGGUAAAGAGCGCAGACGGCUCCACACAUUUCCAGUUUCAUCUUUGAGUACGAUCCUGAUGUUUAUUAGGUUUGAUAAAUAGCACAAAACAGGAAAAGAGGUUUACUAGUCUAGCUUUUCUUACUGAACGGUUAUGCAGACACUUCAAGUCGAACCACUGUGUGCUUGCUUCUGGAAACUGCUUUUUAAAAACUGGGGGAGGGGGGUAGUACCCCUAGUUUUGCAUGUCAGCCUUUUUAUAUUUCAAGCUUGCUGGAGGGCAAGGAAUCAUGUAGCCAUAGACUCGUUGCUAUGUUUGUCUUUUCAAACUUUUCCACCACGUUUUGGCCCAAAACUAUUAGUGUUUCGUCUCAAUCUUUUACUAGAGGGAUUUCGGUAUAGCUGCUUGGAUGAAGGAAUUCUGGAAGGAAAUGGGGACUGCUGUGCCACACCGGGUUUGUUAACUUCAACUAACCACAAGGAUUCCACAGACCUGAGAUGAGGCUGACUGGGGCAGCCAGACCUGCUAAGGUGUCCUCCGGGAAGACAGCCCUUUAAAUGGCCCUUCUGCCUCGUGGCACCCCUUGUGACAGUUACCAAGUAAGUGAGAACUUAGGGCCUUAUCAGCCAGCAGGAGUUGCCAGCCUCUGUGAAGCAAGAGCUGAGUGUUCCAUUUCCCCUUUCCAGGUAAAGUUCAUCUCAAUGCAUAAAUUGUCAUUUUGGUCUCCCAGUCAUGAUCCAAGACUUUUCAUUGCAGUGUGUAGUUUUCAAAGCAGAUGCUUUAAGCUCUCUGGAUUCCCUCACAUCUCCCCACUUCUCUGUUCCAAUACUACAAAUAUCCAUGGCCACGCCACACACAUUUCAAAAGUGACAUCAGAUUAUCCAAAUGAUGACAAUGAAAUAAAACAUCUGCCCUUUGUGUUGGGAUGUUCCAAUGGUAAGCAAUUGUGGGAGGCAGACUUGGUGGAGUUAUGAAAAACCACAGUGAGAUUUUAACUUUUCACUGGUUUCUCAGAUCAAACCAAAUGAGUCUUUAAAAUUCAAUGUAAUUUGGCUAACUUUUGCAGAGUAUAAAUGUAUUCCAGUAAUUUCACCCUGGGGCCAUUUAUAAUUUUGCCUACUGAGUUUAAUACUCUCUUCCAGAAAUACAAGGAAUUGCAAACAUGAUUUUAAGUCCUUCAGUAUUCUUGUUGAGAGGGUGGGAUGGACAGAGGCAUUGGGGAUUUGAUGCAAUAUUCUUUUACUGCAUAGGGAGCCCAGGAUACAGGAUGUGAGUGAUGGUCAAGGCAGGGCUUCAGAAGUUCCAAGCAGGUACCUUGAAUACGAGUUGAGUCGACUCAAUUCAAGCCAAUGUACCACUAUCCACCACAUUUUCUUGGCUCCCUAAGAAUGCCGUAUUAUUUUCUCAUUGGCAGCUUUUGUAUAUUCUUAAAAGGUGAUGGUACAAAAUGAGUCUAAAAGGUUUCAGGGAAGUCGGGGGCGGGGUGGGGGGAGAUUCAGCAGCUACAAAAUGUGAAACUACUGGGCUUGACUCCCCUCCCCUACUCCCUUCCACCUUCUGUUUCCUCCCCUUAUUUACCCCCUCCCCAGGCUGGAGGAAAGGGAACAGCUCUAGCCAACUUGUCAAAAUAAUGCUGCUAAUUACCCCUGAUCUCCUUUAAUGGGAAGCUGCUCCUAACUCCACAAAAGAGUAAAUGAGGGGUCUACAGCACAAACCCGGGAGCACUGGCAUUUUUUGAGCUUACAGUGAGCUGGGGGUGGGGAACGCGGCAGAGGGGAGUGUCCUGAGAAGGUCCCAGAAAUCUCCACAUUGAUUACUCCAGGUUUAAAUGCUAGCUUGAAAGGGGAAUUAGACUUUAUGUAUUGCCAAAAGCUAUUGGUAUUCUCUUGCUAAGCAUGUCACCAACUGCUGAGAGAAUGUUCAGAGCCUACUAUGAACUUGAAAGAAAACAGAGCGUUGACCCCUGCAUUGAUCCCCCUUUCUCCAAAUAUAUUCUUACCCACAUUGCUUUCCUCUAAUGGAUAGAGAUGUAUUCCUGAAACACCCAGACUUUGAACAUGUUUUGCAUCCUUCCCUCGCCUCGCCUCUAUCUCCCUGUCUAAUAUAUCUCUAUCAAGCUUUGCGUUUGCUAGGAGGCACACCAUUCAUUUCAGUGAUCUCUGCCAUUGGGUCCUGCAUGAAAAAGAAGCUGAGCAACAUGAUCCCUUUGACCCACUGCUGGAGCAACAAAUUUAUUAGAAAUAUAGGCAUGAGAAAUGAAAGGGAAGUAAAACAAUUCCAGCUUA